GAUGAACGCUGGCGGCGUGCCUAAUACAUGCAAGUCGAGCGAACGGACGAGAAGCUUGCUUUUCUGAUGUUAGCGGCGGACGGGUGAGUAACACGUGGAUAACCUACCUAUAAGACUGGGAUAACUUCGGGAAACCGGAGCUAAUACCGGAUAAUAUUUUGAACCGCAUGGUUCAAAAGUGAAAGACGGUCUUGCUGUCACUUAUAGAUGGAUCCGCGCUGCAUUAGCUAGUUGGUAAGGUAACGGCUUACCAAGGCAACGAUGCAUAGCCGACCUGAGAGGGUGAUCGGCCACACUGGAGCUGAGACACGGUCCAGACUCCUACGGGAGGCAGCAGUAGGGAAUCUUCCGCAAUGGGCGAAAGCCUGACGGAGCAACGCCGCGUGAGUGAUGAAGGUCUUCGGAUCGUAAAACCCUGUUAUUAGGGAAGAACAUAUGUGUAAGUAACUGUGCACAUCUUGACGGUACCUAAUCAGAAAGCCACGGCUAACUACGUG
RNAcentral lists this ribosomal RNA (497 nucleotides) under uncultured bacterium. RNAcentral describes it as "partial 16S ribosomal RNA". It matches the Rfam family "Bacterial small subunit ribosomal RNA", at positions 28 to 507 of the family's 1533-position model. The record is from RNAcentral.